GUUGAACGCUGGCGGCAUGCUUUACACAUGCAAGUCGAACGGUAACAGGCCGCACGUUGCUGACGAGUGGCGGACGCGUGAGUAAUGCAACGGAACGGGCCCCCUCGUGAGGGAUAACUACUCAAUAGGGUAACUAAUACCUCAUACGAGCUAUGAUUGAAAGCGGGGGGCCUUAAUAGCUCACGCGAUUUUAGCGGUCGCUGUCAGAUUAGGUAGUUGGUCGGGUAAAGGCUCACCAAGUCAACGAUCUGUAGCCGGUCUGAGAGGAUGAGCAGCCACACUGGAACUGAGACACGGUCCAGACUCCUACGGGAGGCAGCAGUGGGGAAUUUUGGACAAUGGGCGCAAGCCUGACCCAGCAAUGCCGCGUGAAGGAAGAAGGUCUUCGGGUUGUAAAAUGCUUUUGUACGGAAAGAAACGGCUUUUGUUAAUCCCCGCGCCUAUUGACGGUACCGAAACAAAAAGCCCCGGCUAACUACGUG
This 482-nucleotide ribosomal RNA is filed under the name uncultured bacterium. RNAcentral's name for it is "partial 16S ribosomal RNA". It matches the Rfam family "Bacterial small subunit ribosomal RNA", at positions 28 to 507 of the family's 1533-position model. The record is from RNAcentral.